Molecule: ribosomal RNA, 270 nt
Filed under: uncultured archaeon
Lineage: Archaea
Description: partial 16S ribosomal RNA
Rfam family: Archaeal small subunit ribosomal RNA
Source: RNAcentral
CAGCUCUCCGAGUAGUGUGGACGUUCAUUGGGCCUAAAGCAUCCGUAGCUUGCUAGAUAAGUCCUCUGUUAAAUCCACAGAUUCAAUCGUUGGAUUGCGGGGGAUACUGUUUGGCUAGGGGAGGGGAGAGGUCGACGGUAUUCCCGGGGUAGGGGUGAAAUCCUAUAAUCCCGGGAGGACCACCAGUGGCGAAGGCUGUCGACUAGAACGCGCCCGACGGUGAGGGAUGAAAGCUGGGGGAGCGAACCGGAUUAGAGACCCGAGUAGUCC